This 739-nucleotide ribosomal RNA is filed under the name uncultured bacterium. RNAcentral's name for it is "bacterial SSU rRNA". It matches the Rfam family "Bacterial small subunit ribosomal RNA", at positions 62 to 801 of the family's 1533-position model. The record is from RNAcentral.
UCGAGCGAAGCACUUUUUUAGAACUCUUCGGAGGGAAGAGAGGGUGACUUAGCCGCGGACGGGUGAGUAACGCGUGGGCAACCUGCCUUACACAGGGGGAUAACAAUUAGAAAUGAUUGCUAAUACCGCAUAAGACCCCAGUACCGCAUGGUACAGGGGUAAAAACUGAGGUGGUGUAAGAUGGGCCCGCGUCUGAUUAGGUAGUUGGUGGGGUAGAAGCCUACCAAGCCGACGAUCAGUAGCCGACCUGAGAGGGCGACCGGCCACAUUGGGACUGAGACACGGCCCAAACUCCUACGGGAGGCAGCAGUGGGGAAUAUUGCACAAUGGGGGAAACCCUGAUGCAGCGACGCCGCGUGAGUGAGGAAGUAUUUCGGUAUGUAAAGCUCUAUCAGCAGGGAAGAAAAUGACGGUACCUGACUAAGAAGCCCCGGCUAACUACGUGCCAGCAGCCGCGGUAAUACGUAGGGGGCAAGCGUUAUCCGGAUUUACUGGGUGUAAAGGGAGCGUAGACGGAAUUGCAAGUCUGAUGUGAAAAUCCGGGGCCCAACCCCGGAACUGCAUUGGAAACUGUAUUUCUAGAGUGUCGGAGAGGCAAGUGGAAUUCCUGGUGUAGCGGUGAAAUGCGUAGAUAUCAGGAGGAACACCAGUGGCGAAGGCGGCUUGCUGGACGAUGACUGACGUUGAGGCUCGAAAGCGUGGGGAGCAAACAGGAUUAGAUACCCUGGUAGUCCACGCC